Marmota monax (woodchuck) is the source of this 1698-nucleotide long non-coding RNA. RefSeq lists it as uncharacterized. NCBI's taxonomy places the organism in Eukaryota, Metazoa, Chordata, Mammalia, Rodentia, Sciuridae. The transcript has 3 exons. The record is from RefSeq and is a predicted model, not a curated record.
UUUUUUUCCUGUAGCAUGCCCCUUGUGCAGUUUGCCUUGUGGAUUAAUUUUUGAGCAUGUUCCUGAUUUAUUGCGGCAACUGGAUAUUUCUAACAGGCAAUAAUCUUGGGGGCUUGUCUGGAAAACUACACCACCCAGGGGGUCAUGGAGACAUAUCCCACUGCCUUUUUGUGGUGGCCUCAAAGUGGUGGGGGGAAACCUGCAACUGCUGAAGCCAAUAACAGACUCAAAACCAAGUUGAUGGGCAAUGCUGCAAAGAGCCCAAGUAAGCAGAGCAGUCAACCAGGUAAUUCUGUGAACGGACCAAAGUAGGAAAAUCUAUUCUCAAAAAAGAAGUACUUCCUUGGUGGUUGAGACAUCCCUGAGGUUGUCUGAGGGAAGGCCACACUGUCAUAUGAAGACCUGGCUUAUAUCCAUUUGCUUUGACUAAGUCUAUUUCUGAUCAUCAACACUGUUUCCUAACCAUACUCCUCCUCUGGGGUUGGCAUUUCAUCACUUCCCACCUGGCAACUUGAUUUUAAACCUGGAAAGAAGACAAGCCUCAACUGAGCUGGAAAGAACCUUACCAAGUGCCCCUGAUCACCAGGACAGCUAUCUGAACUGCUAAAAAGGGGAGAACUCAUUACCAUCAGCGUUCUCUACUUCAGAAAGUUACUAUGGCUAGGAAGAAUGGCAAUAUGGGGGGCUGGGGAUGUGGCUCAAGCGGUAGCGCACUCGCCUGGCAUGCGUGCGGCGUGGGUUCGAUCCUCAGCACCACAUACAAACAAAGAUGUUGUGUCCGCCAAAAACUAAGAAAAAAAAGAAAAGAAUGGCAAUAUGAAAGGUUAGAAGAACAAAAAUGACAAUGAGACUGAAAGGUAUUUUAAAAAAGUGGCGGGGGGGAAUGCUUGGGGGAAAUAGAAAGUCUGGUGGUCUGUUUUCAGAAUAUAAUACUUAGCCUUAAAUGUAAAAUUGGGGUAAGAUCCAAUCAUAGCCUUAACUUUAGUGCUUCCUACAGCCUCCCCAAUUUUAAAAUUAGCCAAUUGUGUAGAUUGUAACCCAGAGCUCCUCCUAUCAGAGCAAGCAGCAGUGCUGCAUUAGGGUUAAAAAACCAGUGGACUGUCGACCCAGGUGUGCUUUCUUUCCAGACUUUGUUCAAUAGCACACCCUUCUGCAGAAGUAGAGUUUGCCUGGCUGAAUAACUUUUGAGCAUAUGCAAGAUUUCUUGCAGCACCCCAAUAUUUCUAACAGACUAAGCCCCUAUAACAAAAGAUAGAUUAACAAAGUCCCUUAUCAGGUAGGUGAUUUGCAAAUAUUUUCUCCCAUUUCAUGGGUUGUCUUUUUACUGUUAUGGAGACAUCAUUUGUGAUACAAAACUUUUUAAUUUUGACACAACUCAGUUAAUUAUUUUUUCUUUUGUUGCUGUACUUUUGCUGUUAAGAAAUCACUGAUUAUCAAAGGCCAUAAAAUUAGUCCUAUGUUUUUUAAUGAGGUGUAUAGUUUCAGCUCUUUAAUUUAGGUCCAUAGUCCAUUUCAAGUUAGUGUUUGAAUAUGGCUUGAAGUAAAGAUCCAAUUUAUCCUCUUGCAUAGGUGGGUUGAUAUUCAUAUCACAUAUCAUAGCACCAUAUUUGGAAGUAUUCUUUUCUUAUUAAAUUGUCUUGGCAGUCUUGUUUAAAAUCAAUUGACCAUAAAUGAAUAAACUUAUUGUUUGUAAGCCUC